GACGAACGCUGGCGGCGUGCCUAACACAUGCAAGUCAACUUGAGGGAAGGAGCAAUCUGACCUGAUGGUGGCGCAAGGGUGCGUAACGCGUAAGUAACUUGCCCCAAGGUAAGGAAUAACGUCGAGAAAUCGGCGCUAAUACCUCAUAAUGCAGCGGAUCCGCAUGGAUAUGUUGUUAAAGGUUACCGCCUUGGGAUAGGCUUGCGUCUGAUUAGCUAGUUGGUGUGGUAAUGGCACACCAAGGCUACGAUCAGUAAUUGGUCUGAGAGGAUGAUCAGUCACACUGGAACUGAGACAACGGUCCAGACUCCUACGGGAGGGCAGCAGUGAGGAAUAAUUGGGCAAUGCACGAAAGU
RNAcentral lists this ribosomal RNA (356 nucleotides) under uncultured bacterium. Its description in RNAcentral is "bacterial SSU rRNA". It matches the Rfam family "Bacterial small subunit ribosomal RNA", at positions 28 to 382 of the family's 1533-position model. The record is from RNAcentral.